ACCGCUUCUCGGCCUUUUACAGCUAACAAUAAGCUCAUCUGUGUAGUUUUUGUUCUUGUCAGUGUAAUAUUCGAUACACUCCUCAUUAAGGAGUCGAAGUAUUAACUUGAUUUUUGGGAUUGUUCCUCCUCUGUUCCGAGUCAGCUUAACAUUGCCGUGACGUUGGGAUUGAUUAUACGUAA
This is a small nuclear RNA of Megalopta genalis, 182 nucleotides long. RefSeq annotates it as U2 spliceosomal RNA. Lineage: Eukaryota; Metazoa; Arthropoda; Insecta; Hymenoptera; Halictidae. The record is from RefSeq and is a predicted model, not a curated record.